This 406-nucleotide ribosomal RNA is filed under the name uncultured bacterium. RNAcentral's name for it is "partial 16S ribosomal RNA". It matches the Rfam family "Bacterial small subunit ribosomal RNA", at positions 29 to 526 of the family's 1533-position model. The record is from RNAcentral.
AUUGAACGCUGGCGGCAGGCCUAACACAUGCAAGUCGAGCGAGCGGCGGACGGGUGAGUAAUGUCUGGGAAACUGCCUGAUGGAGGGGGAUAACUACUGGAAACGGUAGCUAAUACCGCAUACCAUCAGAUGUGCCCAGAUGGGAUUAGCUAGUAGGUGGGGUAACGGCUCACAUGGGCGACGAUCCCUAGCUGGUCUGAGAGGAUGACCAGCAACACUGGAACUGGAACACGUCCCAGACUCCUACGGUAGGCAGCAGUGGGAAAGAUUGCACAAUGGGGGCAAGCCUGAUGCGGCCAGGCCGCGUGUGUGAAGAGGGCCUUCGGGUUGUAAAGCACUUUCAGCGGGGAGGCGUUACCCGCAGAAGAAGCAACGGCUAACUCCGUGCCAGCAGCCGCGGUAAUAC